This 2279-nucleotide long non-coding RNA is filed under the name Danio rerio (zebrafish). RNAcentral's name for it is "lncRNA (ENSDARG00000117786.1)". Lineage: Eukaryota; Metazoa; Chordata; Actinopteri; Cypriniformes; Danionidae. The record is from RNAcentral.
AUGAAAAUUUAUAUUCAAACUAUUUUAGUUUUAUGCAAAGCACAUCAGUGCCUAGUCUUUUCUUUCAUUAAAAAAUUGAAUGGAAAUGCCAUGGAAAUUCAGCUUUUUGUCAUUGAAUGUCAGGGAAAAUGGCUUCGAGUGAAAAUUUUUAAUGUUUUAAUUUUCUUUUGCACUUUUCAACAAUUUAUGAUUGAUGAUUGUGUGUCUGUUUCAGCUCUGAAAGCACUACAGGAGCGCUUCAUGAAGCACUUCCAGCCCGCACCUCGUCCCAAACGCGAGCGCACAUUACAGCUUAAUGUGGUGAGGAAAGACAGCAGUUCAUCAGGACAGGAGGAGCUGCACUCUGAAUCCAUCACAAUCACUGUCAAGGAGGGAGAAGAUGAGCCAGCCAAUGUCAAACCAGGUGAGAAACUGGUGCUGUUGAAGUCUCGUUUGCAGCAAGCCAUGGCCAUCCGCAGGAAAGAGGAGCGAGAGAGAAGAGCUGCUCUUCAUCGCCUCGAUAAUGAAGACUGUGAGGAAGAGGAGGAAGAAGAGAUGACCGAGUCAGAGGAUGAAGAGGGUGUUGAUGAAUUGCUGGGAGAUGGUAAUGGUGAUGAUGAGGAAGAAGAGGAAGCGAUAGACAGAGAGGAAGCAGAAGAUGAAGUUUCUGUGAAAACCUGCCCAUCUCCAGGCUUCAAGAGUCCGUCUCCGACUCCAGCAGACACUGACGGCACAUUGAUGCUGUUUGCUGGAAGCUCCUGUUCCCGCACAGGGGAUGGUGUGAGAAGAAUAGGAGCAGCUGGCCAUGAAGCUGACAAUAAAAUGGAGGAGGACGACACGCUUUCGUUGGCUAAGGACAGCAGUCAUAACAGUAGCUUUGAGCUGAUGGGCUCCAUGAUCACCUCGUAUCAGCCGAACAGAGCUGCAAGUCGAGGCCUGUCCAGCAGUGCUUUCCGCUCCCCGUCUCCCUGCCUCUUUAGAUCCAGCUUUCUGGGCUCGGCCUCAAAGAGCUCUGGUAAGAUGUCCGAGCCGUCCCUGUCUCUGCCUGUGGAGGAUUCCCAGGACCUCUAUGCUCCGUCAUCCCCCAGUGAAUCUGCUCUCCCUCCGGCUGGAGACUCUCAGGGACGCUUCUCCCUGGAGGACGACACUCAAUCACAACUACUGGACGCAGACGGAUUCCUGAAUGUGGGUCCUCGCGGCGGUCCCUCACGCUCGCACAAACGCCAGCUCAUACUCGACAGCCUGGAUGAAAACGCUAUGGAUGCUAACAUGGGAGAGCUUCUGGGGCUUUGCUCGGGGGGCUUCGGCACGGGGCAGACCCAGCCCGGAGACUCUCAGCCUGGGGCAGAGGAUGAGCUGCUGGGGUUGUGCUCUGGAGCUUUUACCACACAGCCUGGAGAGCCUGCUGCUGCUGCUGUUGUUGAUCUCAGGGAGAAAAACAACACUUCAGAGGCAGAAGAGCAGAGAGAGGAGAGCCGUGGAGGAUCUGAGGCGGAUAUGGACCAGCUGCUGGCGCUCUGCUCCGGAAAGUUCACAGGAAGCCCAUCUGCUUCGUCACUAAGAUCAGUCUCCAGUCCUGCCUUUGAAAAGACGUCUGAAACAAACAGGUACUAAACUAAAUUCAUCAACUUGUAAAUGCGUUUUCCUAAUGUGUUAUUGGAUUUGUCUAAACCAAAAAAUGUUGGUACAGUUUUUGAUACAGUAGUGCAGAUUACUCAGUUGAGUCCCAAACUGUAGUAUGUUGAAAAGAAUAUGCCUAAGGAUCCUGGAUGCUCUACUUCAGCGGUGUCCAAACUUGGUCCAGAAGAGACGGUGUCCUGCUGAGUUUAGCUCCAACAUGCUUCAACACAUCUGCAAGGACGUUUCUUGUACAUCUCGUAAGAGCUUGAUUAGCUGACUCAGGUGUGUUUGAUUAGGGUUGGAGCUAAACUCUCCAGGGCACUGGCCCUCCAGAACGGAGUUUGGACACCCCUGCUCUACUAUUUCUGGUGGAAAUUCAAAGUGUGGAACAGUCCAUACUCAAACCACUAAUAUAACCAACNNNNNNNNNNNNNNNNNNNNNNNNNNNNNNNNNNNNNNNNNNNNNNNNNNNNNNNNNNNNNNNNNNNNNNNNNNNNNNNNNNNNNNNNNNNNNNNNNNNNUUUUUUUUUUUUUUUUUUUUUUUUUUAUAUACAUAUAUAUAUAUAUACUCAUAUAUAAAAAAAAAAAAAAAAAAAAAUAAAUAAAAGAAAGAGAGAGACAGAGACACACACACAGACUCUGUGUGUGUGUAUAUAUAUAUAUAUAUAUAUAUAUAUAUA